This is a long non-coding RNA of Melitaea cinxia (Glanville fritillary), 2265 nucleotides long. RefSeq lists it as uncharacterized. The transcript is spliced from 2 exons. The record is from RefSeq and is a predicted model, not a curated record. Lineage: Eukaryota; Metazoa; Arthropoda; Insecta; Lepidoptera; Nymphalidae.
ACAUCGAAAAAUUUCAAAUAUGACAUUAGAAUAGAAAUUGUUUUAUGAGAUUGUUAUUAUAAUUAUUUUGUAUUUGCUUUACAAACGAAAUUGAUAUUUGAAAGCUUUUAUUUCACAUUGUAAUAGGUACUGCAUUUAUUUUAACUCAUUCCUUAAGCAGCUAUGAAAUAAAUAAAUAAGUUGGUUAACAUGAGAACAGACGACCGUGUGUGUAUGUUAUGACUUAUAAGAUAUAAAAAUGCGAUAUGCAUUUAAAAUUAAAAUCAAUUUCGCCUACACGUAUCACUACAAAAAAAACGUUUAGAACUCAGAGUGUAAGUUUGCGUAACUUUAGUAGCCUUGAUGUCGUUUUUAAACUUUAUAUUUAAAAAAAAUAAACUAAUAAUAAAACGCAAGUGCAAUAGUCGUACGUAAACUUACAUUUCGGUUUUAGUAUAAAUCUUUGAAAAUAUAGCACAUUAUAUACAGUUCGUAUAAAAUAUUAUGUCUAUUAAAACAAAGUAAUAAAGGUCUUUUAUUAUAAAACUUUAGAAAAAUUUACUCCGGUUCCUAUAACAUAGUUUUAUGUACUUUCUUAAGGGGGUGAUACACGUACGAACUUAAAGAUCGCGGAUUUUAAGAUAGCGAACUUAAUCGGCUCGACGUUCACCGACACCGACACACGUGAAGCUUACUCACUCUAUAUUGCGAUUCGGUUAAAAUUGGUGGCUCGCGGCUCGCCUUGCUGCCACACGCACGAUCGCAGGCGGGUUACGAGCAAAGUUUCAAACUUGUCGGAUCGCCAACGAACUUACUCGGCGGUUAUAAAGUACGCGUACUUGGGGUGACACACUAGCGAAAAAGGUCGUGGAGCCACAAGUUCGCGAACUUACUCGCACGUCUAUCACCCCCUUUAGAAUCGUAAAAUCUAUAGAAAUAUUUUAGAACUGAAAAAAUGUUUAAUAUAGAAAUUGACCACUAUUUAAUAUUUUUAAGGUAAGUUAGUCUCCAUUUUCAGACAACACCAAUUGUAUCAAUUCUUACUAAAUACUUCUAAGAAAAAAUAAUAUAUACACUAUUACUGAUUUUCAAAUAUACCUAAUAUUAUUUUACUCAAAUGGUGUCAAUGCCAUUGCUGAACAAAAGUGUGUUCAUAAGAAACAAUAUUGGUAUGGGGCGAUAAACGAUAUGGGGCCUUAUUGGUCUUUUUUGUAUAAAAUUAAUCAUUUUUCAACUACUUUGAUGUGUUUUUUUAUUGACCCUUAUCGUUAAAACAUCACAUGAUACAAAAUUUGAUAAUAAAAUAGGUAAAUAAAAAAAAAAAAUAGGAUUUUUUUGUAAUAUCAUUGUGGUGUACAAUAAAGUAUAAGAAUAAAAAAAUAAAAUUAAAUAAAUAAAUAUAUCCGAAAAAUAUUAGGUCUACAUUGUAAGUAUGAUAAUACUCAAUACUCAUCAUUUAUGAAAAGAAAUGUAACUUAAAAACAAAAUUAAUGUAUUAUCAUCACCAAUAAUGUCGUGGACAAAAUAUCGCUAUAACGGUCAAUGAUAAGACACUAUUACAGCUAAGUAUUAAAAGAGCUUUCAGAUGUCACAAAACUUUUAUCUAACAGAAUAGUAGACCUACAGAUAUACCAUUUAAACUCAAAGUUAUUUAAAAUUUAUUAAUAUUUUUAAUUUGUAAGAAUAUUUAUUAAACACAAAUGAAUAAAGUUCUCUGUUUAAUAUCAAAAAUCAGAAUAAUCUAAAUUAUUAUUAAACAAGUUGGCUGUAAACAAGAGGCGUUUAAUUAAACCACACACCUUUAUACUACAGACAAAAAAUCAGUCAAAUACAAUCUACUGCUUCUAGUAGUUCUUCUUCAACUUGUAAAUUGAUUGCUGUCCAAACUAUUGUAAUAAUUUGACUUAAUUUUUUGUACCUGCAUACUUAAUGGUAUGCUGUAUAAUGUAAUGUCUUUCGCUUGUAUCCAUGUGUGCAAUUAUUAUGAGUAUGUGGAUCUUUAUUAUAGUAUUUAAAAAAAAUAUAUAUUAAUCGUAUAAAUUUAUAAAAAAAAGAAAAUGCUACGAAUGUGACACAUAGAGAAUAAUAUAACAUUAGGGAAUGUAUGUAUAGGUCGGAAAUAAGAUUUUUCUGAUAUUUUUUGAUAUUAAAUUAAUAUGAUACAUAUGGAUGAUAUAUUUUUAGUUCUAACAAAUAGACUGGUGCAUAGUUCCAUAGAUAAAAUUAACUCGUACGAUUUAGGUUCGCACAAAUAAAUAUUGUUUUAAAAUAAAAUGCCUUACUCAA